RNAcentral lists this transfer RNA (65 nucleotides) under Polyascus gregaria. RNAcentral describes it as "tRNA-Trp". Lineage: Eukaryota; Metazoa; Arthropoda; Thecostraca; Sacculinidae. The record is from RNAcentral.
AAGAUUUUAAGUUAAGUAAACUAAUGGUUUUCAAAAUCAUAAAUAAAUUUUUAAUUUAAAUCUUG